GUCCUCACUUCAGUAGCACAUUUAUCCUAAAAUUGGAACGGUAAAGAAAAGAUUAUCAUGGCCUUGAGCAAAGAUGACAGGCAAAUUCAUUGAGGCAUUCCAUAAAUUA
Small nuclear RNA from Gracilinanus agilis (Agile Gracile Mouse Opossum), 109 nucleotides. The record is from RefSeq and is a predicted model, not a curated record. NCBI's taxonomy places the organism in Eukaryota, Metazoa, Chordata, Mammalia, Didelphimorphia, Didelphidae.